RNAcentral lists this transfer RNA (73 nucleotides) under Salinivirgaceae bacterium. RNAcentral's name for it is "tRNA-Ala". It matches the Rfam family "tRNA". From Rfam's summary of the family: Transfer RNA (tRNA) molecules are approximately 80 nucleotides in length. Their secondary structure includes four short double-helical elements and three loops (D, anti-codon, and T loops). The record is from RNAcentral. Lineage: Bacteria; Pseudomonadati; Bacteroidota; Bacteroidia; Bacteroidales; Salinivirgaceae.
GGGGCAUUAGCUCAUCUGGUAGAGCGAUUCGUUCGCAACGAAUAGGUAGGCGGUUCGAGUCCGCUAUGCUCCA